Molecule: non-coding RNA, 78 nt
Filed under: Pseudo-nitzschia fraudulenta
Lineage: Eukaryota; Bacillariophyta; Bacillariophyceae; Bacillariales; Bacillariaceae
Source: RNAcentral
GCGACGUCGGUGGAUCGGAUGCAAUUUUCGAACCCCGAGUCGGAAAAGAAGAGGUGGAAUGAAUGAGGGCUGGAAACG